ACUCCUACGGGAGGCAGCAGUGGGAAUAUUGCACAAUGGGCGCAAGCCUGAUGCAGCCAUGCCGCGUGUAUGAAGAAGGCCUUCGGGUGUAAAUGUACUUACAGCAGUGAGGAAGGUGGAGUCGUUAAUAGCGGCCUCAUUUGACGUUAGCUGCAGAAGAAGCACCGGCUAACUCCGUGCCAGCAGCCGCGGUAAUACGGAGGGUGCGAGCGUUAAUCGGAAUUACUGGGCGUAAAGCGCAUGCAGGUGGUUUGUUAAGUCAGAUGUGAAAGCCC
This 275-nucleotide ribosomal RNA is filed under the name uncultured bacterium. Its description in RNAcentral is "partial 16S ribosomal RNA". It matches the Rfam family "Bacterial small subunit ribosomal RNA", at positions 335 to 603 of the family's 1533-position model. The record is from RNAcentral.